AGCGAACGCUGGCGGCAGGCCUAACACAUGCAAGUCGAACGAACCUUUCGGGGUUAGUGGCGGACGGGUGAGUAACACGUGGGAACGUGCCUUUAGGUUCGGAAUAACUCAGGGAAACUUGUGCUAAUACCGAAUGUGCCCUUCGGGGGAAAGAUUUAUCGCCUUUAGAGCGGCCCGCGUCUGUUUAGCUAGUUGGUUGAGGUAAUGGCUCACCAAGGCGACGAUCAGUAGCUGGUCUGAGAGGAUGAUCAGCCACAUUGGGACUGGGACACGGCCCAAACUCCUACGGGAGGCAGCAGUGGGGAAUCUUGCGCAAUGGGCGAAAGCCUGACGCAGCCAUGCCGCGUGAAUGAUGAAGGUCUUAGGAUUGUAAAAUUCUUUCACCGGGGACGAUAAUGACGGUACCCGGAGAAGAAGCCCCGGCUAACUUCGUG
Molecule: ribosomal RNA, 434 nt
Filed under: uncultured bacterium
Lineage: Bacteria
Description: partial 16S ribosomal RNA
Rfam family: Bacterial small subunit ribosomal RNA
Source: RNAcentral